GGGGGGGCUUAUACAUGCAAGUCGAGCGGACAGAUGGGAGCUUGCUCCCUGAUGUUAGCGGCGGACGGGUGAGUAACACGUGGGUAACCUGCCUGUAAGACUGGGAUAACUCCGGGAAACCGGGGCUAAUACCGGAUGGUUGUUUGAACCGCAUGGUUCAGACAUAAAAGGUGGCUUCGGCUACCACUUACAGAUGGACCCGCGGCGCAUUAGCUAGUUGGUGAGGUAACGGCUCACCAAGGCGACGAUGCGUAGCCGACCUGAGAGGGUGAUCGGCCACACUGGGACUGAGACACGGCCCAGACUCCUACGGGAGGCAGCAGUAGGGAAUCUUCCGCAAUGGACGAAAGUCUGACGGAUCAUCGCCGCGUGAGUGAUGAAUGUUUUCGGAUC
This 393-nucleotide ribosomal RNA is filed under the name Bacillus velezensis. RNAcentral's name for it is "bacterial SSU rRNA". It matches the Rfam family "Bacterial small subunit ribosomal RNA", at positions 41 to 424 of the family's 1533-position model. Lineage: Bacteria; Bacillati; Bacillota; Bacilli; Caryophanales; Bacillaceae. The record is from RNAcentral.